UGAGAGGCUAGAUUUCGAUAAAUUGCCAUGUCAUGCAGUUAAGGAUUUUAUAAAUCAGGUGGUAGAUAAAAUAAAGAUUAGCUACUGCAGUGGUGGGGUUCCGUGGACCAGCCUAUUAGAGGGGCACGGUAAACUCCUUUAUAUUCUCACCUCGAUCGUAGAGGCGCGUAGGGUAUCUCCUGAGGAGGGCUUUUUGAGUGCACUUCACGUUAACCACCACGUGAAGUGAGACUUAGUCAACACCAAGGAACGACUGUUUUUUUUCAAAAUAAAAACAAGUUUUGUGAUUAUAUAAAAUUUUUCACAACCUUGGCAGACUCGGUUGGAUACCCCUGGUCCAGGUGUCCCCGAGUACAAGAUUUGGCAUGAGCCAAGUUUUGAGAAAUUCACGAGCCAUAUUGAUUAUUUGGUUGAAAUGAAU
Molecule: long non-coding RNA, 421 nt
Filed under: Theobroma cacao (cacao)
Lineage: Eukaryota; Viridiplantae; Streptophyta; Magnoliopsida; Malvales; Malvaceae
Description: long non-coding RNA (TCAC_LNC003050)
Source: RNAcentral